CGAAGGCAGAGUAGAGAAAUGAGGGGGUGCAGGCAUCCCCAGAGCGUUUAAUAUGAACUGAGAAAUGUUCGCGGGGCUUGUUGCUUGCUGGGGUGCAGUGGUGGGACGUGACGGUUCGCCCCCUCUCGCCCCCCCUCCUCUGUCUUCAUAGGAGACGCCAACCAACGAGCUGAGCGUCCAGGGCCCCCCCGAGGGGGACACGGACCCGUCUACGCCGCCAGCGCCCCCGACGCCUCCCCACCCCGCCACCCCCGCAGAUGGGUUUCCCAGCAACGACAGCGGCUUUGGAGGCAGUUUCGAGUGGGCGGAGGAUUUCCCCCUCCUCCCCCCGCCAGGGCCCCCCCUGUGCUUCUCCCGCUUCUCCGUCUCGCCUGCGCUGGAGACCCCGGGGCCGCCCACCCGGGCCCCCGACGCCAGGCCCGCAGGCCCUGUGGAGAACUGACCCCCCAAAGACCCGAACCCCCUGUGCCCCCAGAAGAGGGGUUGAGAAUAGAAUCUUCUGUGGACGACGGAGCCACUGCCACCACCUCAGACACCGCCUCUGGGGAGGCCCCUGAGGCUGGGCCCUCCCCCUCCCCCACCAUGUGCCAAACAGGAGGCCCUGGCCCCCUGCCCCUCAGCCCCCCGGACGGCUCCCCUGAUCCCCCCGACCCCCUCGGUGCCAAAUGAGGCAGGAAGCCCCUCCCCCUCCCCGGAGAGCCACCUUCUUGGAACUGAACUGGACUUUUUCGGGCCCGGAGCCCCUGGGCACAGCGGAGGCCCCUCCUCACCCUCUCCCACCUCAGACGGGGCCGCAGGCUUUGGGGGACCUGGACCCCCCAUCUCACGAUUCCCCUUCCCCGCCCCAGCCUGGCCCCUGGAGGGGCUUCUGGUUCAAACCUUCGCGUGGCAUUUUCACAUUAUUUAAAAAAGACAAAAACAACUUUUUGGAGGAA
Myotis myotis is the source of this 935-nucleotide long non-coding RNA. RefSeq lists it as uncharacterized. Lineage: Eukaryota; Metazoa; Chordata; Mammalia; Chiroptera; Vespertilionidae. The transcript has 3 exons. The record is from RefSeq and is a predicted model, not a curated record.